GGGGAAUAUUGGACAAUGGGCGCAAGCCUGAUCCAGCCAUGCCGCGUGAGUGAUGAGGGCCCUAGGGUUGUAAAGCUCUUUCACCGGUGAAGAUAAUGACGGUAACCGGAGAAGAAGCCCCGGCUAACUUCGUGCCAGCAGCCGCGGUAAUACGAAGGGGGCUAGCAUUGUUCGGAAUUACUGGGCGUGAAGCGCACGUAGGCGGACAUUUAAGUCAGGGGUGAAAUCCCGGGGCUCAACCUCGGAACUGCCUUUGAUACUGGGUGUCUUGAGUAUGGAAGAGGUAAGUGGAAUUGCGAGUGUAGAGGUGAAAUUCGUAGAUAUUCGCAGGAACACCAGUGGCGAAGGCGGCUUACUGGUCCAUUACUGACGCUGAGGUGCGAAAGCGUGGGGAGCAAAC
This 400-nucleotide ribosomal RNA is filed under the name uncultured bacterium. Its description in RNAcentral is "bacterial SSU rRNA". It matches the Rfam family "Bacterial small subunit ribosomal RNA", at positions 356 to 773 of the family's 1533-position model. The record is from RNAcentral.